UACGUAGGUGGCAAGCGUUGUCCGGAAUUACUGGGUGUAAAGGGAGCGCAGGCGGGGAAGCAAGUCGGCUGUGAAAUGCAUAGGCUUAACCUAUGAAUUGCAGUUGAAACUGUUUUUCUUGAGUGGAGUAGAGGUAGGCGGAAUUCCGAGUGUAGCGGUGAAAUGCGUAGAUAUUCGGAGGAACACCAGUGGCGAAGGCGGCCUACUGGGCUCUAACUGACGCUGAGGCUCGAAAGUGUGGGGAGCAAACAGG
RNAcentral lists this ribosomal RNA (253 nucleotides) under uncultured bacterium. RNAcentral's name for it is "partial 16S ribosomal RNA". It matches the Rfam family "Bacterial small subunit ribosomal RNA", at positions 524 to 776 of the family's 1533-position model. The record is from RNAcentral.